CGAGAGGGAGCAGCACACAGAAAAAGGCACACAGGCAGGGAAAGAAUGAGAAACAGACACACACAUGCAUACACACGUACAGAGUGUCCUUUCUCCUCCAGAGACGGGCAGAGCCUGAGCUUGAGACUGACCGACAGACACAGACACACAACACAGAGACCCGCAGACUCUCAGAGAUGCACAGAGGGAGGGAGAAGGAGAGAGAGACACCCAGGGAGCGAGAGUCCCAGGGAAUGAGACACGCUCUCACGCGCACACACCGUGCGCGCUGGGGCAGACAGAACAGUGCUGCAGCCUGCCCGCCAUAGGCGUCAGAAGCAGCAGGACAGGGAGGCAGAGAAGGCUGGAGGCCCAUGGAAGCUAUGCUGGAUUUGAGCCCAGAUCCCAAAUCUCCAGCCUGUUGUCUUCUCACCACCCACAAGUGCAGGGAGGUUGGUGGCUGUGUGCCAGCGGCCCUCCAUGCUGGGACCACCUGCCCAAGCCCCACUCAGACAACUGGGACAAGCUGGUGUUGGUGUCCAUCGAUCCCUGGACUGUGCCCCUACCCAGGGGUCUCCAGCUGGCAGAGACGGACAGAACCUCACACAUCCAAUGGGAAGGAGCUAUCGUCCUACAUGCCUGGCUUCUGUCUCAGGCCUUAGCAAUGGCAGAAGUGACCUCCAACCACUGUAAACGAACAGGUGUAAGAAUCCCUCGGGGCCACAGAGCAGUCUCACUGCACAGCAAAGGAAUGCUGUUUCUAGUGAGUCUCAAGCAGGAACUGCUUUCCGGGUUACUGUUAACAGGCUCUUGCUCUCAACUAACUUCUCUACCAAGCAGCCUCCUUCAACAAGAAAACCAGGCCAUUCCUUAGAAUCCUGAGUCGAGUGUGGAUGCCAGGCAACAAUUCCAGCAUCUUCCUUGACCCAAAUGCACACCUCCUGACCUCGCCGUUUCUGCCUCCUGCUAAGACCUCUGAGUCAAGAUGGGCAGCCCCGGCUUCUGGAAGUCUGCCGUGCAAACUUCUCUCCUGAGCCCUGGAGAAACAAUCUGGCCUCUGACAAAAUGGGCUCUGAAAGAAGAACAUUCUUAGAAACCUGAGCCCCUUAUUAAAAGGGCCCAACCUGGCACUCCGUUAAAUUGUUUCUCUGAAGGCAGUUCAAGAAUAAGUAGGGGGGGAAAAUGCAGAGAGAGAAACCAGGGAUCAACUGUCUGUCUACACUAAACCUAUUUCCAGAACAUUCAUAGUUGGUAUAAACUUUUAUUUAGGUGCCUACUUGGGAAAAGAUGUGC
Molecule: long non-coding RNA, 1272 nt
Organism: Neofelis nebulosa (Clouded leopard)
Lineage: Eukaryota; Metazoa; Chordata; Mammalia; Carnivora; Felidae
Exons: 4
Source: RefSeq, a predicted model, not a curated record